Molecule: ribosomal RNA, 446 nt
Filed under: uncultured bacterium
Lineage: Bacteria
Description: SSU rRNA
Rfam family: Bacterial small subunit ribosomal RNA
Source: RNAcentral
AGAGCGAACGCUGGCGGCAGGCUUAACACAUGCAAGUCGAGCGCCCGUAGCAAUACGGGAGCGGCAGACGGGAUAGUAACACGUGGGAACGCGCCCUUCGGUUCGGAAUAACUCAGGGAAACUUGAGCUAAUACCGAAUACGCCCUUACGGGGAAAGAUUUAUUGCCGAAGGAACGGCCCGCGUCCGAUUAGCUAGUUGGUGAGGUAAUGGCUCACCAAGGCUACGAUCGGUAGCUGGUCUGAGAGGAUGACCAGCAUCACUGGGACUGAGACACGGCCCAGACUCCUACGGGAGGCAGCAGUGGGGAAUAUUGGACAAUGGGCGAAAGCCUGAUCCAGCCAUGCCGUGUGGAUGAUGAAGGCCUUAGGGUUGUAAAGUCCUUUUAACGGGGAAGAUAAUGACGGUACCGUAGAAUAAGCCCGGCUAACUUCGCGCCAGCAGCCGC